AGGGUUCGAUUAUGGCUCAGGACGAACGCUGGCGGCAUGCUUAACACAUGCAAGUCGAACGAGAAAGCUUCUUCGGAAGUGAUUAAAGUGGCGCACGGGUGAGUAACGCGUAGACAAUCUGCCCUUCAGUCCGGGACAACUUUCCGAAAGGGGAGCUAAUACCGGAUAACAAUGUUUAACAUAAGUUGAAUAUUUGAAAGCUCCGGCGCUGAUGGAUGAGUCUGCGUCCCAUUAGCUUGUUGGUGCGGUAGAGGCGCACCAAGGCUACGAUGGGUAGCGGGUUUGAGAGGACGAUCCGCCACACUGGAACUGAGACACGGUCCAGACUCCUACGGGAGGCAGCAGUGGGGAAUAUUGCACAAUGGAGGCAACUCUGAUGCAGCAAUGCCGCGUGAGUGAAGAAGGCCCUUGGGUCGUAAAGCUCUUUUAUGGGGGAAGAUGAUGACGGUACCCCAGGAAUAAGCACCGGCUAACUACGUGCCAGCCGCCGCGGUAAUUC
Molecule: ribosomal RNA, 499 nt
Filed under: uncultured bacterium
Lineage: Bacteria
Description: bacterial SSU rRNA
Rfam family: Bacterial small subunit ribosomal RNA
Source: RNAcentral